CCUGAAGGAACGUUAAAGACGAUGACGUUGAUAGGCCGGGUGUGUAAGCGCAGCGAUGCGUUGAGCUAACCGGUACUAAUGAACCGUGAGGCUUAACCUUACAACGCCGAAG
RNAcentral lists this ribosomal RNA (112 nucleotides) under Klebsiella pneumoniae. Its description in RNAcentral is "partial 23S ribosomal RNA". The stretch from base 1 to 100 matches the Rfam family "Bacterial large subunit ribosomal RNA", at positions 2826 to 2925 of the family's 2925-position model. The record is from RNAcentral. RNAcentral also lists the same sequence under 1 other name. Lineage: Bacteria; Pseudomonadati; Pseudomonadota; Gammaproteobacteria; Enterobacterales; Enterobacteriaceae.